Molecule: ribosomal RNA, 483 nt
Filed under: uncultured bacterium
Lineage: Bacteria
Description: partial 16S ribosomal RNA
Rfam family: Bacterial small subunit ribosomal RNA
Source: RNAcentral
GACGAACGCUGGCGGCGUGCUUAACACAUGCAAGUCGAACGCUGAAGCUCAGCUUUUGUUGGGUGGAUGAGUGGCGAACGGGUGAGUAACACGUGAGUAACCUGCCCCCUUCUUUGGGAUAACGCCCGGAAACGGGUGCUAAUACUGGAUAUUCACUGGUCUUCGCAUGGGGGUUGGUGGAAAGGGUUUUUCUGGUGGGGGAUGGGCUCGCGGCCUAUCAGCUUGUUGGUGGGGUGAUGGCCUACCAAGGCUUUGACGGGUAGCCGGCCUGAGAGGGUGACCGGGAACAUUGGGACGGAGAUACGGCCCAGGCUCCUACGGGGGGCAGCAGUGGGGAAUAUUGCAGAAUGGGCGCAAGCCUGAUGCAGCGACGCCGCGUGAGGGAUGGAGGCCUUCGGGUUGUGAACCUCUUUCGCUCAUGGUCAAGCCGCAACAAUGGUUGUGGUGAGGGUAGUGGGUAAAGAAGCGCCGGCUAACUACGUG